CUUCCUUCCGUCAAGUUGCAGACUCCGGUUCCUGCCUGCUCCUUCCUUAGGAAAGUCUGCACGUACAAUGGAACUGCACUCAAAGCCCAACUUUUUCCGAAAAAGGAAAAGGCGAAACCAAACGACUAAGAAGCUCACAGGGCGGAGAUGCUGAGAGAAAGAAACCCAGCUACACUCUGCCUUUGUUGUCUGUGCUCCAAGGAAGAAAUUCCUGCCACUUUGGCCAAGAUGCCUGCUAGGUCCUAGUGCCUUUUGCAUACAUGGGCUUGCACGCCCCUGCACACAGAGAGAGAGAGAGAGACCUGCAGACCUCUUGGCUUGGCUUGGCUUCACGCUCAGGACCAAUUUCCUGGAUAGGGCUGCCUAUGAAAAAUGGAUAGAGCUUCCAUCACACCGAUGCAGCUGUCAUCUUGACUGUUUUGAUCGAGAAACCCCCGUUCAAAGAAAAACAGGUCCGUUCUGCUCCUCUGUGCUCCUUAUUCUGAUGCAGCUGAGAUGAAGUAGCUCUGAUCUUCCCAUUCAAAUACUUCUGCUACCAGCUAAGGUAAUCAGGAGAAGGCACAAGGGUAUCAAAAUGAUGACACAUGUCACACACUUCUCUGCACAUGGUCAAUUAAACAAUUGCACCUUGACGUCUGAUGCAAGUCCUGUCACUGACGAAGCCUGGGUGUCUUCAGCAAAACACAAUGAUGUCAAAAUGAUGAAAUGUACAUGAGGGCAUGGUCACCAAAAUGCCAGCCAGCUUCAAAGGCACGAUCUGCUUCAAAUGCACGAUCACUGCCCUUGCCUGCUAAUUCCAUUUUCAAUUCUUUGUUUUAUUUAUUACAGCUUUUCGCCAGCAAAUAAGUCAAAAAGGGAAGGAAAGAGUCAAAACAGAAAUGUACAACUAAGCAUAUAUAGCAAUCCCUUAAAUCGUAUUAUGGAUCCCUUGCUGAAGCCUUGAUGCCAAAUAAGAAAACUUUGGAACAUUUUAUGUUUGCACAAAGAGCAUUGUUAGGGAGCAAGUAAAUCAACGCCAAAACUGACUGAUUGUCUGUGGAUUGUCGCUAGAAGGGGAAAAACAAGAUUUCAAUGCAAUCUGGUAUAAAUAUGCAACACAGAAGAACAUGCAUUGGUGACUGACAAUAACUGGGCAGUUGGUUCAGCUCCAUCUGGAAUAACUGCUGGUCCAUUGGAUUCAUAGCUUGAGACCAACCAAGAUUAAAGAAAACACUUUGAAAAGGGGCACAUAAAAGUGCUUUCAGAAGUUGUGGGUGCUUCAUUACUGGAGGUUUUUAAGAGGAGACUGAAUAGUCACUUGUCUCAAAUUGUAUGGAGUUGGACUAGAAGACUUCCAAGAUCCCUUCCAGCUUCAUUCUCUGAUUGACUGAGCUUUUGCUUCAGAGACGUCUCCCAAAUAGAUUGGAAAGCAUCAGUGACAGCCAAGUAGAGAAGCUCAUGAGACUGAUAGAUGCAUUUAAGCCAACAAUGAUAUCACCACACACAUUUCAUUAUAUGCUCACACCCGUGUGUCCCUCUGGCUCUCUGCUCUUUCCCUUCCAAAUCUGAGAUGGAAGUAAUGGGGUCUGCAUGUAGCCUUUAGAUUUGCAUCUAGAUCAGGCCCCCGCUUAAGUGGGGACAGGUGAUUGUCCAGUCUCUUCUUAAAGAUCUCCAGGGAUGGGACGUCCACGAUUUCUGGAGGCAAGCUAUUCCACUGGUUGAUUGUCCUCA
Long non-coding RNA from Crotalus tigris (Tiger rattlesnake), 1710 nucleotides. RefSeq lists it as uncharacterized. The record is from RefSeq and is a predicted model, not a curated record. The transcript is spliced from 3 exons. Lineage: Eukaryota; Metazoa; Chordata; Lepidosauria; Squamata; Viperidae.